RNAcentral lists this ribosomal RNA (253 nucleotides) under uncultured bacterium. Its description in RNAcentral is "partial 16S ribosomal RNA". It matches the Rfam family "Bacterial small subunit ribosomal RNA", at positions 524 to 776 of the family's 1533-position model. The record is from RNAcentral.
UACGUAGGGGGCAAGCGUUGUCCGGAUUUAUUGGGCGUAAAGAGCGUGUAGGCGGCCUUACAGGUCAGCUGUGAAAACUCGAGGCUCAACCUCGAGACGUCGGUUGAAACCGUAUGGCUAGAGUCCGGAAGAGGAGAGUGGAAUUCCCGGUGUAGCGGUGAAAUGCGCAGAUAUCGGGAAGAACACCAGUGGCGAAGGCGACUUUCUGGCCUGUUCUUGACGCUGAGGCGCGAAAGCUAGGGGAGCAAACGGG